UGGAAACAGGUGCUAAUACCGCAUAACAACUUGGACCGCAUGGUCCGAGCUUGAAAGAUGGCUUCGGCUAUCACUUUUGGAUGGUCCCGCGGCGUAUUAGCUAGAUGGUGGGGUAACGGCUCACCAUGGCAAUGAUACGUAGCCGACCUGAGAGGGUAAUCGGCCACAUUGGGACUGAGACACGGCCCAAACUCCUACGGGAGGCAGCAGUAGGGAAUCUUCCACAAUGGACGAAAGUCUGAUGGAGCAACGCCGCGUGAGUGAAGAAGGGUUUCGGCUCGUAAAACUCUGUUGUUAAAGAAGAACAUAUCUGAGAGUAACUGUUCAGGUAUUGACGGUAUUUAACCAGAAAGCCACGGCUAACUACGUGCCAGCAGCCGCGGUAAUACGUAGGUGGCAAGCGUUGUCCGGAUUUAUUGGGCGUAAAGCGAGCGCAGGCGGUUUUUUAAGUCUGAUGUGAAAGCCUUCGGCUCAACCGAAGAAGUGCAUCGGAAACUGGGAAAC
Molecule: ribosomal RNA, 504 nt
Filed under: Lactiplantibacillus plantarum
Lineage: Bacteria; Bacillati; Bacillota; Bacilli; Lactobacillales; Lactobacillaceae
Description: bacterial SSU rRNA
Rfam family: Bacterial small subunit ribosomal RNA
Source: RNAcentral